Molecule: ribosomal RNA, 468 nt
Filed under: uncultured bacterium
Lineage: Bacteria
Description: partial 16S ribosomal RNA
Rfam family: Bacterial small subunit ribosomal RNA
Source: RNAcentral
GACGAACGCUGGCGGCGCGCCUAACACAUGCAAGUCGAACGGAGCUGAGAGAAGCUUGCUUUUCUUAGCUUAGUGGCGAACGGGUGAGUAACGCGUGAGUAACCUGCCCUGGAGUGGGGGACAACAGUUGGAAACGACUGCUAAUACCGCAUAAGCCCACGAUCCGGCAUCGGAUUGAGGGAAAAGGAUUUAUUCGCUUCAGGAUGGACUCGCGUCCAAUUAGCUAGUUGGUGAGGUAACGGCCCACCAAGGCGACGAUUGGUAGCCGGACUGAGAGGUUGAACGGCCACAUUGGGACUGAGACACGGCCCAGACUCCUACGGGAGGCAGCAGUGGGGGAUAUUGCACAAUGGGGGAAACCCUGAUGCAGCGACGCCGCGUGGAGGAAGAAGGUUUUCGGAUUGUAAACUCCUGUCGUUAGGGACGAUAAUGACGUUACCUAACAAGAAAGCACCGGCUAACUACGUG